Molecule: non-coding RNA, 72 nt
Organism: Podarcis lilfordi (Lilford's wall lizard)
Lineage: Eukaryota; Metazoa; Chordata; Lepidosauria; Squamata; Lacertidae
Source: the annotation of a GenBank genome assembly
GGAUAGCUCAGUUGGCUAGAGUGUGGUGCUGAUAAUGCCAAGGUUGAAGGUUGGAUCCCUGUAGGUGAUCCA